This 253-nucleotide ribosomal RNA is filed under the name uncultured microorganism. RNAcentral describes it as "partial 16S ribosomal RNA". It matches the Rfam family "Bacterial small subunit ribosomal RNA", at positions 524 to 776 of the family's 1533-position model. The record is from RNAcentral.
UACGGAGGGUGCAAGCGUUAAUCGGAAUUACUGGGCGUAAAGCGUACGUAGGCGGCUUGUUAAGCAAGAUGUGAAAGCCCCGGGCUCAACCUGGGAACGGCAUCCGGAACUGUCAGGCUAGAGUGCAGGAGAGGAAGGUAGAAUUCCCGGUGUAGCGGUGAAAUGCGUAGAGAUCGGGAGGAAUACCAGUGGCGAAGGCGGCCUUCUGGACUGACACUGACACUGAGGUGCGAAAGCGUGGGUAGCAAACAGG